Molecule: small RNA, 121 nt
Filed under: Klebsiella aerogenes
Lineage: Bacteria; Pseudomonadati; Pseudomonadota; Gammaproteobacteria; Enterobacterales; Enterobacteriaceae
Description: partial RtT sRNA
Rfam family: RtT RNA
About the family: This family represents a bacterial cis-regulatory element known as RtT RNA. The exact function of RtT is unknown although it is thought that it may be involved in changing the cellular response in relation to amino acid starvation.
Source: RNAcentral
UAUUCUGCCCUACGGGGAAGGAUGAGAAGCUUCGACUAAGGUUCGACUCGAGCGUCAGCGAGAGAACGUUGCCGCAGGCAACGGCCCGAAGGGCGAGGCGCUUUAGCGCCGAGUAAUCCUU